RNAcentral lists this ribosomal RNA (1462 nucleotides) under uncultured Bordetella sp. RNAcentral describes it as "partial 16S-23S ribosomal RNA intergenic spacer". It matches the Rfam family "Bacterial small subunit ribosomal RNA". Lineage: Bacteria; Pseudomonadati; Pseudomonadota; Betaproteobacteria; Burkholderiales; Alcaligenaceae. The record is from RNAcentral.
GUUUGAUUCUGGCUCAGAUUGAACGCUGGCGGGAUGUUUUACACAUGCAAGUCGAACAGCGGCACGGACUUUCCGGUCUGGUGGCGAGUAGCGAACAGGUGAGUAAUGUAUCGGAACGUGCCCUAGUAGCGGGGGAUAACUACGCGGCCCGUAGCUAAUGCACAUACGCCCUUCGAGGAAAAGCAGGGGACCUUCGGGCCUCGCACUAUUAGAGCGGCCGAUAUCGGAUUAGCUGGUUGGUGCAGGGUAACGGCUCGCAAAGGCGACGAUCCGUGGCUGGUUUGAAGGACGACCAGCCACACUGGGACGGGGCCUGGCCCAGACUCCUACGGGAGGCAGCAGUGGGGAAUUUUUGGACAAUGGAAACCCUGUUCAGCCAUCCGCGUGUGCGAUGAAGGCCUUCGGGUUGUAAAGCACUUUUGGCAGAAAGAAACGGCACCGGGAUAAUACCCGGUACAGCUGACGGUACCUGCAGAAUAAGCACCGGCUAACUACACGUGCAGCAGCCGCGGUAUUACGUAGGGUGCAAGCGUUAAUCGGAAUUACUGGGCGUAAAGCGUGCGCAGGCGGUUCGGAAAGAAAGAUGUGAAAUCCCAGAGCUUAGCUUUUGGAACUGCAUUUUUAACUACCGAGCUGAAAGUGUCAGAGGGAGGUGAUUCCGCCGAUGGCAGUGAAAUGCGUAGAUAUGGAGGAACACCGAUGGCGAAAACGGCCUCCUCAGGAUAACACUGACGCUCAUCUCGAAGCGUGAGGAGCAAGCGAGUUAGAUGCCACGGUAGUCCACGCCUAAACGAUAUCAACUAGCUGUUAGGGCCUUCGGGCCUUGGUGGCGCAACUAACGCGUGAAGUUGACCGCCUGGGGAGAGUACGGUCGCAAGAUUAAAACUCAAAGGAAUUGACGGGACGCACAAGCGGUGGAUAUUAAAAGGUUAAUUCGAUGCAACACCCGAAAAACCUUACCUACCCUUGACAUGUCUGGAAUCCCGAAGAGAUUUGGGAGUGCUCGCAGAGAACAGAACCUGAGUGCUGCAUAGCUGUCGUCAGCUCGUGUCGUGAGAUGUUGGGUUAAGUCCCGCAACGAGCGCAACCCUUGUCAUUAGUUGCUACGAGGCACUCUAAUGAGACUGCCGGUGACAAACCGGAGGAAGGUGGGGAUGACGUCAAGUCCUCAUGGCCCUUAUGGGUAGGGCUUCACACGUCAUACAAUGGUCGGGACAGAGGGUCGCCAGCCCGCGAGGGAGCCAAUCCCAGAAACGAUCGUAGUCCGGAUCGCAGUCUGCAACUCGACUGCGUGAAGUCGGAAUCGCUGGUAAUCGCGGAUCAAUAUGUCGCGGUGAAUACGUUCGGUUGUACACACCGCCCGUCACACCAUGGGGUGGGUUUUGCAAGUAGUUAGCCUAACCGUAAGGAGGGCGAUUACCACGGUAGGAUUCAUGACUGGGGUGAAGUCAUGGCAAGGUAA